GUGUCAGCCGCCGCGGUAAGACGUAGGGGGCCAGCGUUGUUCGGAAUUACUGGGUGUAAAGGGUUCGUAGGCGGUGCGGCAAGUUGGGAGUGAAAUCUCUGGGCUUAACCCAGAGGCUGCUUCCAAAACUGCUGAGCUCGAGUGCCGGAGAGGGUGGCGGAAUUCCCCAAGUAGAGGUGAAAUUCGUAGAGAUGGGGAGGAACACCUGUGGCGAAAGCGGCGCACUGGACCAUAACUGACGCUGAGGCGCGAAAGCUAGGGGAGCAAACAGGAUUAGAUACCCCAGUAGUCC
Molecule: ribosomal RNA, 292 nt
Filed under: uncultured bacterium
Lineage: Bacteria
Description: partial 16S ribosomal RNA
Rfam family: Bacterial small subunit ribosomal RNA
Source: RNAcentral